RNAcentral lists this ribosomal RNA (253 nucleotides) under uncultured bacterium. RNAcentral describes it as "partial 16S ribosomal RNA". It matches the Rfam family "Bacterial small subunit ribosomal RNA", at positions 524 to 776 of the family's 1533-position model. The record is from RNAcentral.
UACAGAGGUCUCAAGCGUUGUUCGGAUUCAUUGGGCGUAGAGGGUGCGUAGGCGGCACGGUAAGUCGGGUGUGAAAUCUCGGAGCUUAACUCCGAAACUGCAUUCGAUACUGCCGUGCUUGAGGACUGGAGAGGAGACUGGAAUUUACGGUGUAGCGGUGGAAUGCGUAGAGAUCCGGAAGAACACCGGUGGCGAAGGCGGCCUGCUGGGCAGUAGCUGACGCUGAGGCGCGACAGCGUGGGGAGCAAACAGG